CUGGGAAAAUCUUUAUGCGUUGUCAAUACGAUUUAAGAAAGCCUUCACAGAUACUGAGUAUUUCCAAAACUCAACAGUGAAGUGCGGAAAUGAAACAAACGUCUUCUAGCAAGCCACUGAAUUGCUCCCAAGUAAUUGAUGGCGGUGAAUGUGUCCAGGUCCCGGAGGAUGUUCUGUGAUAUUCCUUUCAUUUCACUGAAGGAGCAAAUGGAAAAGGCAAAGCGCAGGCAGAACAAGCGACCUACCCUACAAAUCAGUGGGAGUAGAACAGAGGCCUCUGGGCUCCCAGGUUGGUGGUUAUCCAGGAAGACCAACACUCCUCAAAUGUACAGCAUUGGUCCUGGAACGCAAUCACUGUGACAGAACUGUGAGCAGACCAGCACAGAUAGGUUCUGACAGGUUAUUUCCCAAGGUAACGCCUGACUGUCUCUGUCCUCAAGGUACUCCUCUUCGUAAAUGAAGAGUUAUUGCCUAAGCUGCACUGCAGGUCUGGUGCUCCCAGGAAGGAGCAGGCCGAUGGGAUGGGAUGGGAUGGGAAGAUGGAGAAGGGACUGAAGGUGCAGGGGGUGGGGGUGGGGCACGAGAAAAUCUCCCUUUCCUGCUUCCUUCCUCAUAUCCACGCUUAGCCACCAGAGGCUGAAGACAAGAUGGGGCAGGGACGCUGCAGCUUCAUAGCCGGGAACAGCUAUAUUAAACCAAAGGGAUUUUAGAGUUAGCUGCCAUAAAAUGAAGAGGGUAUAUGGAAUUGACCCUGACGAUGCCCUCAAAGCCAUCUGUGUUUCUGCAGUGAAUCUGCUCUGCGUAAGCCAUACUGCUGUCCUGUCAUGACUUCCUUUUCGUUUUGUACAAGAUGUCAGAUCAACACUACCCCAGUUUUAUAUGAGAACUAUUUAACCAGCAGUUGUUACAACUAAAAGAGAACCAAAUGUUGUAACUGUAAGAGGGAACCAAACGCUGUCUUCAAUAAAAAAUCUACCUUCAGUUA
This is a long non-coding RNA of Vicugna pacos (alpaca), 985 nucleotides long. RefSeq lists it as uncharacterized. The record is from RefSeq and is a predicted model, not a curated record. NCBI's taxonomy places the organism in Eukaryota, Metazoa, Chordata, Mammalia, Artiodactyla, Camelidae.